Molecule: small RNA, 376 nt
Filed under: Cryptococcus neoformans H99
Lineage: Eukaryota; Fungi; Basidiomycota; Tremellomycetes; Tremellales; Cryptococcaceae
Description: Cryptococcus neoformans var. grubii H99 hypothetical RNA
Source: RNAcentral
GCCGCCAAUUGGGAGGGACGCAGCAGUACCCAUACGUCCCGGCCUUGGUCGGCCUAGUGCUGACAACUCCUAGCCUUCCAGCAGGUACGCUGCUUCCCAAGGGGGCAAAUUUUGCAAUGCAGUCAACAAUAGAUUUUGGGUUGCAUUUUCCCAAAGGCACAAAGGUUCCCGGAGGAUUUCUUCUUCCUGUGUCUGUUGUGAAGAAACAGGAGCCCAAGAAAGCCCCGCCUCCCUCUGAGAACCCUCUGUGCAUGAUCCAAUAGAUAUAGAUGUAUGCGCAUAUGAAUGCACGAUGGUUGAUUGGGCUGCUAUCUGCAUGGAACCAUCGGAUAGUACAAUUGACGUUCGUUGAGUCGUUCGUUGAGAGGCCGGCGAG